Long non-coding RNA from Eleginops maclovinus (Patagonian blennie), 806 nucleotides. RefSeq lists it as uncharacterized. The transcript is spliced from 3 exons. The record is from RefSeq and is a predicted model, not a curated record. Lineage: Eukaryota; Metazoa; Chordata; Actinopteri; Perciformes; Eleginopidae.
CAUUGAGAAGCGGUUGGAGAGGAGGGAUGGGGGGCACGGGUUGGGUGAAGCGGUUUCGUCUGUGCCUGCUGUACUGCAGCGACCAGUCCCACACUGAGGGCAGAGGAGGGUCCGAGGGGUCGGAGGAAGAAUCCGGAUGAAGCACAUCCCUCCAGCCAUUCACUGGUGUCCAUUACCUGAGAGCGUUUGCAUCUCUCCCGCUGGCAGUUGGCCAGGAAGCUGGAGAAGAGUGGCAGGUGGAUGCUGUCGUGCAACGCCAACAGGAAGUCACCUGUCAGCUGGAAGCGAGAGGGAUACUGGGACAAGAGCUGCCAAACACAGUCCAGGAAGAGCAGGAAGACUGGAGCCUGCAGGCACAGAGGGAAGGGAAGGCGUUGAUGCGGCUGUAGAAGCGGUGGCCGGACAUCACCCACUCCUUCUGCACGAGGCUCUGGAAACCGUGCUGGGUCCGACAGUGGGGGUCACACAUCACCUGCACCAGGCUGGACACAAUGCAGCCCAUGUCCCGGUCGUCCGCUUCUGCAACGUCAAAACAGAGGAGCACACGCUGAAAAAGGUCAUAGGAAUUCUUAUAUAUUCCUAUAAAUAUAACCAAUCUGCUAAAGACGAGACUGUUGUUUGUAGUAUUUGGGUAAUAUGACUCCAUUUACCAUGUAGCACUUUUUCUUUAUGUCUUCGGUAAAUGUCAUACAUCAUUAGUGGGCAGUUUGUGGCUUAUACAGUUAGCGGAUAUGAAAUAACAUGUUGUACACAAAGCACCAUAUUGCUUUUAUAUUAUUCUGAAUGUGUUUUUCUUUUAAAUUCAG